UAGUAUAUGGAAUCUCCAUUCUAUAAACCCACUCUGCGUAUCUUGUAACUGUUGCUUCCAUGGGACUUGGUUCCGCCACACCGGCUUCACGGCUGGUGAGCGCCCAUGGAAGGAGAAACAAAACUCUUCUUUGAAAUGUAGUCAGUCUGAACAAGUUUUUAUAAACGUUA
RNAcentral lists this unclassified non-coding RNA (170 nucleotides) under uncultured Ascomycota. RNAcentral describes it as "sequence contains ITS1". Lineage: Eukaryota; Fungi; Ascomycota. The record is from RNAcentral.